Molecule: long non-coding RNA, 922 nt
Organism: Suricata suricatta (meerkat)
Lineage: Eukaryota; Metazoa; Chordata; Mammalia; Carnivora; Herpestidae
Exons: 3
Source: RefSeq, a predicted model, not a curated record
GUCACUUUUUCCUGGGAAAGAAGAGGAUGUCAAGGAAAGUGACCCUGAGCAAGGUUUUGAAAUGAGAGGGUCAAGACAUUUCUGGAAGAAGAAGCAACAUUGAGCAAAGACCUAAAGCAGUGCAGACGUGCUCGCCCCGUUCUGCUUACAAGGAAGCUCAGUCUCCGACACGUUAAAGCUUGCCCAUGACCAUACUGCUCAUAUUGCUGUCUCUCUCCAGCCAGCUGAAUACCUAAUAUCCAGGGCAACUUUGGAAGAAGCCACACAAUGAAGAUGACAGAGAAUUUAUAGCCUGGGUUCCUGAAUGAAUGUCUCCAUCACAGACUGGAUUCUGCAAAGGAAAACCUUGCCAGAUGCGCCGUGUGUGCCCGGCCUCCGCCACCUUCACUGCCUGCCGCCCAGCCAGCCGUCAGUCCCUGGGAACACUCACCUGGCUUCUGAGUCCACAGAGCCUUGAAGCGGCUUCCUGGUGUGUGUGUGUGUGUGUGUGUGUGUGUGUGUGCGCGCGCGACUUAGUGCAUCGCUGUCAGUACCUGGUGCUGGCUAAUGUGGUCUACCUACCAGGCAAUAUAUUCCUAUUUUAACGGGCUUCUUGAGAGAGUAUUUUUUUUAAGUUGUCUUUUGAAACUAAGUACAGUUAUUUCUUUAAGAGAGAAAUUAUAUAACAGAAGAAAAUCAUCGAGGCUUUUCUGACAUUAUACGUUAGUUUUCACCUCUGUAGAUCAAAUGAUUGCAUUUUUAAAACUAUUCCUUCUGAAUCAGUCAUUUCCCAAUUUUACUGUAAUGUGAUUGAUUAUCUCCUGGGUACUCCUCAAGAAAGUCUCAGUCUAACUAAAAUGCUUCCCAACAGGACCCUAAAAUGUAUAUUAUCUGAAACAUGCUUCCAUUUUCUCAGUUUUUAAAAUCUCUUUUUGGGGGGCAC